GACGAACCGUGCGAACGUUGUUCGGAAUCACUGGGCUUAAAGGGCGCGUAGGCGGGCUCACAAGUCAGGGGUGAAAUCCCACGGCUCAACCGUGGAAGUGCCUUUGAUACUGUGGGUCUUGAGGGAGGUAGGGGCGUGCGGAACUUCCGGUGGAGCGGUGAAAUGCGUAGAUAUCGGAAGGAACACCGGUGGCGAAGGCGGGUCUCUGGGCCGAUACUGACGCUGAGGAGCGAAAGCGUGGGGAGCGAACAGG
Molecule: ribosomal RNA, 253 nt
Filed under: uncultured bacterium
Lineage: Bacteria
Description: partial 16S ribosomal RNA
Rfam family: Bacterial small subunit ribosomal RNA
Source: RNAcentral